Molecule: ribosomal RNA, 799 nt
Filed under: uncultured bacterium
Lineage: Bacteria
Description: bacterial SSU rRNA
Rfam family: Bacterial small subunit ribosomal RNA
Source: RNAcentral
AGAGUUUGAUCCUGGCUCAGGAUGAACGCUGGCGGCGUGCCUAAUACAUGCAAGUCGAGCGAACCACUUCGGUGGUGAGCGGCGAACGGGUGAGUAACACGUAGGUGAUCUGCCCAUCAGACGGGGACAACGAUUGGAAACGAUCGCUAAUACCGGAUAGGACGAAAGUUUAAAGGUGCUUCUGGCACCGCUGAUGGAUGAGCCUGCGGCGCAUUAGCUAGUUGGUAGGGUAAAGGCCUACCAAGGCGACGAUGCGUAGCCGACCUGAGAGGGUGAACGGCCACACUGGGACUGAGACACGGCCCAGACUCCUACGGGAGGCAGCAGUAGGGAAUCUUCGGCAAUGGGCGAAAGCCUGACCGAGCAACGCCGCGUGAAUGAUGAAGGCCUUCGGGUUGUAAAAUUCUGUUAUAAGGGAAGAACGACUUUAGUAGGAAAUGGCUAGAGUGUGACGGUACCUUAUGAGAAAGCCACGGCUAACUACGUGCCAGCAGCCGCGGUAAUACGUAGGUGGCGAGCGUUAUCCGGAAUUAUUGGGCGUAAAGAGCGCGCAGGUGGUUGAUUAAGUCUGAUGUGAAAGCCCACGGCUUAACCGUGGAGGGUCAUUGGAAACUGGUCGACUUGAGUGCAGAAGAGGGAAGUGGAAUUCCAUGUGUAGCGGUGAAAUGCGUAGAGAUAUGGAGGAACACCAGUGGCGAAGGCGGCUUCCUGGUCUGUAACUGACACUGAGGCGCGAAAGCGUGGGGAGCAAACAGGAUUAGAUACCCUGGUAGUCCACGCCGUAAACGAUGAGUGCUAA